This is a long non-coding RNA of Hirundo rustica (Barn swallow), 886 nucleotides long. RefSeq lists it as uncharacterized. The transcript is spliced from 4 exons. Lineage: Eukaryota; Metazoa; Chordata; Aves; Passeriformes; Hirundinidae. The record is from RefSeq and is a predicted model, not a curated record.
GUCAGCACUGGUCUCUGGUGGAGCUCAGUCUAGAUAGUUACAAGUCUCUGCUGAACAUCACAGCCUUUGGAUUAAAACUGUCUCAAGUUCAGCAUCCUUGGACUGUGGGAUGGACAGGGUUUUUUAGGGCUGACCAGCACUGCGUGGGUAGAUGUGAAGCUAUAGAAAAACACAAACAAUUUACACAAGGCACUGGGUUUUGGUUCCUCUGCAAGAGAUCUGAACAAAACGAAAGCGAGAGAGAUUGGCAGAAAAUUGUAUUUGAUGAGAGGUGGAUUCAUUGAUAAAUCAUCUGAAUUUCUAGAACUUGCAGUGAAGGUAAUGAAACAAAGAGUGGCAUCACUCCUGAAUCCUCCGUAUAUACAUAUCAGGAACCAGAGAACAGCUAUUGAUUUCCUUGUAGAAACUGCUCUCUCUCUCUUUGCUGUCAAUGUUCCUCUGUUGGGAAGAUAGUGUUGCUGUUGGAGAAGAGUUGCUGCUGGGAAAAGAUGAGCUCUCAAGGGCUGUGCUGUGGCCUGGAUAGUGAGACUUGGCCUCAAGCCCAACAGUGGAAGCUUCCCUGCGUGCAGAGAGAUAUUGUAGAUGGACAGUAUGUGCUACCCAAAGAAGGCUACAAUUGCUCAUUGAAGUGUUGGAGCAAAUUAGUAAUCUCUCGUAGCUGAGGAAAAAUUAUACUCAGAAGAGAAAUGCUGUAAUUUUGAGAAAUGGUACGGUUUGUCUUUCCCUGCUGUUUUAUGUGCUUUAGCACUGCCUCGUGCCAGUGAAACUAAAACAUGAGAUGAGUGAGAGGAAUCAUUAUUCUUCUUUAUUUUAAGUGCACCCUGUGAAUGCUGUAUCUGUGAUGAUCUGUGAAAUAGAUACAACUCAGAUAAGCAAUAAAAUAAAA